GUCGUUGUAGUAUAGUGGUGAGUAUUUCUGCUUGUCACAUAGGUGACCCGGGUUCAAUCCUCGGCAAUGGCG
RNAcentral lists this transfer RNA (72 nucleotides) under Ipomoea nil (Japanese morning glory). It matches the Rfam family "tRNA". Rfam says of the family: Transfer RNA (tRNA) molecules are approximately 80 nucleotides in length. Their secondary structure includes four short double-helical elements and three loops (D, anti-codon, and T loops). Further hydrogen bonds mediate the characteristic L-shaped molecular structure. tRNAs have two regions of fundamental functional importance: the anti-codon, which is responsible for specific mRNA codon recognition, and the 3' end, to which the tRNAs corresponding amino acid is attached (by aminoacyl-tRNA synthetases). tRNAs cope with the degeneracy of the genetic code in two manners: having more than one tRNA (with a specific anti-codon) for a particular amino acid; and 'wobble' base-pairing, i.e. permitting non-standard base-pairing at the 3rd anti-codon position. Lineage: Eukaryota; Viridiplantae; Streptophyta; Magnoliopsida; Solanales; Convolvulaceae. The record is from Rfam by way of RNAcentral.